Molecule: ribosomal RNA, 497 nt
Filed under: uncultured bacterium
Lineage: Bacteria
Description: partial 16S ribosomal RNA
Rfam family: Bacterial small subunit ribosomal RNA
Source: RNAcentral
GACGAACGCUGGCGGCGUGCCUAAUACAUGCAAGUUGAGCGCUGAAGGUUGGUACUUGUACCUACUGGAUGAGCAGCGAACGGGUGAGUAACGCGUGGGGAAUCUGCCUUUGAGCGGGGGACAACAUUUGGAAACGAAUGCUAAUACCGCAUAAAAACUUUAAACACAAGUUUUAAGUUUGAAAGAUGCAAUUGCAUCACUCAAAGAUGAUCCCGCGUUGUAUUAGCUAGUUGGUGAGGUAAAGGCUCACCAAGGCGAUGAUACAUAGCCGACCUGAGAGGGUGAUCGGCCACAGUGGGACGGGGACAAGGCCCAAAAUGCUUAGGGAAGGAGGAGGAGGGAAACUUCGGGAAAGGACGGAAGGCUGAACGAGCAACGCCGCGUGAGGGAAGAAGGGUGUCGGGUCGUAAAACUCUGUUGGUAGGGAAGGACGUUGGGGAGAGUGGAAAGCGCAUCAAGUGACGGUAACUACCCAGAAAGGGACGGCUAACUACGUG